Vicia faba (fava bean) is the source of this 225-nucleotide non-coding RNA. The record is from the annotation of a GenBank genome assembly. Lineage: Eukaryota; Viridiplantae; Streptophyta; Magnoliopsida; Fabales; Fabaceae.
AUGGCUCUGAUGGGCGGUUUUGCUAGAAUAGGCAAUAAUGAGAUCACUAUUUUAGUAAAUGAUGCAGAAAGGGGUAGUGACAUUAAUCCACAAGAAGCACAACAAACUCUUCAAAUAGCAGAAGCUAACUUGAAUAAGGCUGAAGGCAAGAGACAAACAAUUGAAGCAAAUCUAGCUCUCCGGCGAGCUAGGACACGAGUAGAGGCUAUCAAUAUGAUCUCAUAA